RNAcentral lists this ribosomal RNA (1372 nucleotides) under uncultured bacterium. Its description in RNAcentral is "bacterial SSU rRNA". It matches the Rfam family "Bacterial small subunit ribosomal RNA", at positions 28 to 1381 of the family's 1533-position model. The record is from RNAcentral.
GAUGAACGCUGGCGGCGUGCCUAAUACAUGCAAGUCGAGCGAACGGACGAGAAGCUUGCUUCUCUGAUGUUAGCGGCGGACGGGUGAGUAACACGUGGAUAACCUACCUAUAAGACUGGGAUAACUUCGGGAAACCGGAGCUAAUACCGGAUAAUAUUUUGAACCGCAUGGUUCAAAAGUGAAAGACGGUCUUGCUGCCACUUAUAGAUGGAUCCGCGCUGCAUUAGCUAGUUGGUAAGGUAACGGCUUACCAAGGCAACGAUGCAUAGCCGACCUGAGAGGGUGAUCGGCCACACUGGAACUGAGACACGGUCCAGACUCCUACGGGAGGCAGCAGUAGGGAAUCUUCCGCAAUGGGCGAAAGCCUGACGGAGCAACGCCGCGUGAGUGAUGAAGGUCUUCGGAUCGUAAAACUCUGUUAUUAGGGAAGAACAUAUGUGUAAGUAACUGUGCACAUCUUGACGGUACCUAAUCAGAAAGCCACGGCUAACUACGUGCCAGCAGCCGCGGUAAUACGUAGGUGGCAAGCGUUAUCCGGAAUUAUUGGGCGUAAAGCGCGCGUAGGCGGUUUUUUAAGUCUGAUGUGAAAGCCCACGGCUCAACCGUGGAGGGUCACUGGAAACUGGAAAACUUGAGUGCAGAAGAGGAAAGUGGAAUUCCAUGUGUAGCGGUGAAAUGCGCAGAGAUAUGGAGGAACACCAGUGGCGAAGGCGACUUUCUGGUCUGUAACUGACGCUGAUGUGCGAAAGCGUGGGGAUCAAACAGGAUUAGAUACCCUGGUAGUCCACGCCGUAAACGAUGAGUGCUAAGUGUUAGGGGGUUUCCGCCCCUUAGUGCUGCAGCUAACGCAUUAAGCACUCCGCCUGGGGAGUACGACCGCAAGGUUGAAACUCAAAGGAAUUGACGGGGACCCGCACAAGCGGUGGAGCAUGUGGUUUAAUUCGAAGCAACGCGAAGAACCUUACCAAAUCUUGACAUCCUUUGACAACUCUAGAGAUAGAGCCUUCCCCUUCGGGGGACAAAGUGACAGGUGGUGCAUGGUUGUCGUCAGCUCGUGUCGUGAGAUGUUGGGUUAAGCCCCGCAACGAGCGCAACCCUUAAGCUUAGUUGCCAUCAUUAAGUUGGGCACUCUAAGUUGACUGCCGGUGACAAACCGGAGGAAGGUGGGGAUGACGUCAAAUCAUCAUGCCCCUUAUGAUUUGGGCUACACACGUGCUACAAUGGACAAUACAAAGGGCAGCGAAACCGCGAGGUCAAGCAAAUCCCAUAAAGUUGUUCUCAGUUCGGAUUGUAGUCUGCAACUCGACUACAUGAAGCUGGAAUCGCUAGUAAUCGUAGAUCAGCAUGCUACGGUGAAUACGUUCCCGGGUCU